AAACCAUGGUAUGGACACUUGCGCAACAUCAACUUAAAGUGCUCCCAUGCCUUAUAUAAUGACUCUCCUUCCAAUUGUUGAAAAUUCGUAAUAUCCAUAUGAAGUUU
Gossypium arboreum is the source of this 107-nucleotide non-coding RNA. The record is from Rfam. NCBI's taxonomy places the organism in Eukaryota, Viridiplantae, Streptophyta, Magnoliopsida, Malvales, Malvaceae.